CAGUGCAAUAGUAUUGUCAUAG
This 22-nucleotide microRNA is filed under the name Danio rerio (zebrafish). RNAcentral describes it as "dre-miR-301c-3p". Its record names the gene dre-miR-301c-3p. Lineage: Eukaryota; Metazoa; Chordata; Actinopteri; Cypriniformes; Danionidae. RNAcentral also lists the same sequence under 4 other names. The record is from miRBase by way of RNAcentral.